GAGUAAGGCUCCGGUAAAGCAUCGCUAGAUACCAGAUGUUGGAGGUGGAAAUUGGUGUACAGUUAUAUAAUUUCUGCAUCGAAGCCGACGCCAAACGCAUUACGCACGCGGAGACAUCUCUGAGCGACGCGGAAAAAAGUGCGCGUGCGCUCCAAAAAUCCACCAGGAAAGACGAAGAAGACGAAAAUUUGGCCAUCGAAGGACAAAUGUAUGGUGCUGGGAUUGCAGACUAACGAUUCAAAAGUGCACCAGUGGUGCUGCGUGCCGCGGAGCCCUGCAAGCAAAACAUGCCCCGGGAAGAUAGCUGUGGAACCGCCAUUUUGUUUUUUUUUUGCUGUAAAAAAAUUUGAUAAUAAAGUUUAAUGUAUGCCCGAUAACACCCUUAAAAGUUUUUUUUCAAUUACUUUCAAUUUUGGAAGCAAAAAAUUCGUGAAAAAACCUUUUUUUUUGGACCGUUACAGUGGCGUUAC
Molecule: long non-coding RNA, 470 nt
Organism: Neodiprion virginianus
Lineage: Eukaryota; Metazoa; Arthropoda; Insecta; Hymenoptera; Diprionidae
Exons: 3
Source: RefSeq, a predicted model, not a curated record